Molecule: ribosomal RNA, 2340 nt
Filed under: Triticum aestivum (bread wheat)
Lineage: Eukaryota; Viridiplantae; Streptophyta; Magnoliopsida; Poales; Poaceae
Description: partial small subunit ribosomal RNA
Source: RNAcentral
AUGGGGAGGCCGGCGAUGGAGAGCAGCAGCGAGGAGGAGCUGGAGGACGACUUCCCCGGCCACGAGUGGAUCACCCCGCAGUCCUCCAUCCGCGCCGCCUAUCAGUCCCAGACCGAGAAGGGUAUCAGGAAAACUUGCUCUGAGCUACUGGAGCUGAAGGAUGCCAUCGAAAACCUGUGCGGGAAUAUGCAGUCGAAGUACCAUGCUUUCCUCAGAAUAUCCGAGGAGGUUGUCGAGGCAGAGCAAGAGUUAAUUGAGCUGCAGAAGCAUGUGUCUGCCCAGGGGAUGCUUGUGCAAGAUCUGAUGAGUGGUGUGUGCCGGGAACUUGACAUGUGGCAAAAAUAUAGUAAGGAGGAACAUGUGGUGGAGAAGGAUUUUCAAAGUGAACUUAAUGAAAUUUUAUCUGUUGAUACUCAAGACCCCAAGGUUAUUUUUCUGGACGAAAUAGACAUUUUGCUUGCAGAGCACAAACUAGAAAAGGCACUGCUUGCCCUGGAUACUGAAGAGAAGAAAUAUAUGACUACAGAUGGUUCAGGCAAAGAAUCAGAUGCAGAGAUUUCUGCCUAUAAGACAGCACUGUUUAAAAGGAAAUCAAUUCUUGAGGAUCAGCUUGUUAGGUAUUCAGAACAGCCAUCUUUAUCUAUUACUGAACUAAGAAAAUCUCUGUCUGGUUUAAUUAAGAUUGGUAAAGGUUCUGUAGCCCAUCAAGUACUUCUAAAAACCUACGGUUCACGUCUUCACAGAGAUGUUGAGGCAUUUCUUCCCACCUGUUCAGUCUACACAGAAACUUACUCUGCAACCUUGUCACAACUUGUUUUCUCAGCUAUCUCAAAGGUGUUGAAAGAAUCUAGUACGCUAUUUGGAGAUAGCCCCACGAAUAUGAACCGGAUUAUCCAAUGGGCUGAAUAUGAAAUAGAAGCUUUUGCACGUUUGGUUAAAGAAAAUUCUCCUUUGCCUGAGAGUGUUUCUGCACUUCGUUCUGUUUGCAUAUGCAUACAAACUACUCUCGCUCACUGCUCUUGUUUAGAAGCACAUGGGUUGAAAUUCUCAAAGUUACUUAUGUUACUAUUGCGACCUCAUAUUGAAGAAGUGCUUGAACUGAAUUUUAGAAGGGUGAGAAGAAAGAUUAUUGAUUCGGCAAGGAAUGACGAUAUUCUGCGCCUUGGACCUCAAGAAGGAUCACCGACAUCUGAUUCAGUUGCACCUAAGAUGAUGCUUACAAGCAGUGGAAAGAAGUUUAUGUCAGUUAUCAAUGAUCUUUUGGAUCAUGUUACCCCAAUGACCACAGUUCACUUUGGUGGAACAAUUUUGAGCAAUUUUCUCCAGCUAUUUGAUAGAUAUGUCGAAACACUUAUCAAAGUGUUGCCUGGACCUUCUGAAGAUGAUAAUGUAGUGGAGUCACAAGAGCCUGUAGAAUUAAAAGCUGAAAGUGAUGCGCAGCAGCUUGCACUAAUUGGAACUGCAUAUACCGUAGCAGAUGAAUUAUUGCCAGCAGCUGUAUCUAAGUUUUUUGAUAUGCAAACCAAGAAGAAAGAAACUAGUGGAACGAGUGAAGGCCUUGGUCCUGGGUCCGUAUACUCCACAGAAUACAAAGAGUGGAAACGUCAUCUACAACAUUCAUUGGACAAACUGAGGGAUCACUUCUGCCGACAAUAUGUCUUAUCAUUUAUUUACUUGGAAGGGAAGUCACGAUUGGAUGCUAGAAUGUACUUGGAGGGGAACAGGGAUGAUCUUUUUUGGGAUUCUGAUCCCUUACCUUCACUACCUUUCCAGGCGUUGUUUGGAAGGUUGCAGCAGCUAGCUAGUGUUGCUGGUGAUGUUCUACUAGGCAAAGAGAAGAUACAGAAGGUUUUGCUUUCAAGGCUAACUGAAACGGUUGUCAUGUGGCUCUCCAAUGAACAAGAAUUCUGGGAUGUCUUUGAGAACGAGUCCAUCCAGCUCCAGCCUUCUGGACUUCAGCAGCUUAUUCUUGAUAUGCACUUCCUCGUUGAGAUUGCCGUAUGCGGACGGUACCCGCACAGACCAGUUCAGCAGCUUGUGUCAGUAAUUAUUACUAGAGCAAUUGCAGCUUUCUCUGCAAGGGAGGUUGACCCACAAAGCGCUCUUCCGGAGGAUGAAUGGUUUCUUGACACUGCCAAGACUGCAAUCAACAAGCUCAUGCUAGGGACUUCUGGAUCUGAGUCCGACCUCGAAGCGCCUAUCGCUCCGCAUGAUGACGGGAUAUCAGAAGAUUCAGAUAGCAUUUCAUGUCUGUCGAGCAUGGGGUCUGAAGAUUCAUUUGCUUCUGCAAACAAUGAUGACCUAGAAAACCCUGUUUACUUCACCGACCCUGACUCGUAG